This 780-nucleotide ribosomal RNA is filed under the name Phyllosticta capitalensis. RNAcentral describes it as "partial large subunit ribosomal RNA". It matches the Rfam family "Eukaryotic large subunit ribosomal RNA", at positions 70 to 866 of the family's 3401-position model. Lineage: Eukaryota; Fungi; Ascomycota; Dothideomycetes; Botryosphaeriales; Phyllostictaceae. The record is from RNAcentral.
AGGGAUUGCCUUAGUAACGGCGAGUGAAGCGGCAAUAGCUCAAAUUUGAAAGCUGGCGUCUUCGACGUCCGCGUUGUAAUUUGUAGAGGAUGCUUCGGCGAAGACUCCUGCCUAAGUCCCCUGGAACGGGGCGUCAUAGAGGGUGAGAAUCCCGUAUGUGGCGGGCAGUCUAAGCCAUGUGAAGCUCCUUCGACGAGUCGAGUUGUUUGGGAAUGCAGCUCUAAAUGGGAGGUAAAUUUCUUCUAAAGCUAAAUAUUGGCCAGAGACCGAUAGCGCACAAGUAGAGUGAUCGAAAGAUGAAAAGCACUUUGGAAAGAGAGUUAAAAAGUACGUGAAAUUGUUGAAAGGGAAGCGCUUGCAACCAGACUCGCUCGUAGUUGCUCAGCCGGCCUCUUGGCCGGUGUACUCUUCUACGAUCGGGCCAGCAUCAGUUCGGGCGGCAGGAUAAAGGUGUCGGGAAUGUAGCACCCUUCGGGGUGUGUUAUAGCCCGGCGCGGAAUGCUGCCAGCCUGGACUGAGGAUCUCGCUUCGGCAAGGAUGCUGGCGUAAUGGUUGUAAGCGGCCCGUCUUGAAACACGGACCAAGGAGUCUAACAUCUAUGCGAGUGUUUGGGUGUCAAACCCAUGCGCGUAAUGAAAGUGAACGGAGGUGGGAACCCCUCACGGGGUGCACCAUCGACCGAUCCUGAUGUCUUCGGAUGGAUUUGAGUAAGAGCAUAGCUGUUGGGACCCGAAAGAUGGUGAACUAUGCCUGAAUAGGGUGAAGCCAGAGGAAACUCUG